UCUUUACAUAAUCCCCUAUUUCUCUGAGGUUUUGUUCAUUUAUUUUCCUUCUUUUUUCUCUGUUCUUGUCUGACUGUCUUAUUUCAGAAAGGCAGCCAUCAAGCUCUGAGAUUCUUUCCUCCACUUGGUCUAUUCUGCUACUAAUACUUGAGCUCAGCCCAGUUCAGAACUCCUGUUGGAGAGAUGAUUCAGCUGUUUGCAGGAAAAAAGGCCCUCUGACUUUCACCCCCAGAUGAGACCAUCUAGUUGCGGGAAAGCAAGCUCAGGGAUCCCACAAAUUCUGCGCUAUGGAGUGGACCAGCCUUUCAACCCCCACCAUCAUCAGUCAUUGCCUCAGAGCAGUCCACAGGAAACAUAACCUUGACCCAAAUAAGGUAAUGGAACCAGUAGGGAUCAUCAAUUACACUUCCCAGCGCAGAAAAUCUGA
Molecule: long non-coding RNA, 427 nt
Organism: Gorilla gorilla gorilla (western lowland gorilla)
Lineage: Eukaryota; Metazoa; Chordata; Mammalia; Primates; Hominidae
Exons: 4
Source: RefSeq, a predicted model, not a curated record